GCGGGAAUAACUCAGUGGUAGAGUGUCAGCUUCCCAAGCUGAAGGUCGCGAGUUCGAAUCUCGUUUCCCGCUCCA
This 75-nucleotide transfer RNA is filed under the name Desulfuromonas sp. RNAcentral's name for it is "tRNA-Gly". It matches the Rfam family "tRNA". From Rfam's summary of the family: Transfer RNA (tRNA) molecules are approximately 80 nucleotides in length. Their secondary structure includes four short double-helical elements and three loops (D, anti-codon, and T loops). The record is from RNAcentral. Lineage: Bacteria; Pseudomonadati; Thermodesulfobacteriota; Desulfuromonadia; Desulfuromonadales; Desulfuromonadaceae. RNAcentral also lists the same sequence under 15 other names.